Polypterus senegalus (gray bichir) is the source of this 409-nucleotide long non-coding RNA. RefSeq lists it as uncharacterized. The record is from RefSeq and is a predicted model, not a curated record. NCBI's taxonomy places the organism in Eukaryota, Metazoa, Chordata, Cladistia, Polypteriformes, Polypteridae. The transcript is spliced from 3 exons.
UCUAGGGACACGUGCAAUGACGUACGCGCGCCUCCUGAACGAGCACGCCGCUUACGUUAGUACGUAUAGACGGAUAAUACUUGGCCAGUUAGCGCAGCGGGCUCCGAAACAUGACCCGCUGAAUCAUCUACAGCAGUAGUGCCUGAGAGGGAGAUGUAUGGUGUGGAAGAGAUUUCAAAAUUCCGCAUUACAGGACAACACCAAUAGCAGUAUUCGAAGAAAAGACACACUGCCACCAUGAGCCUCUAUCCUACAACUUCCCGCAGUACGCUACUUCCACCCUUCCUCUGUCCACUACUCAUGACGUCAUCAAUCCCAUCUUCCACCAUGGCUCCUACCCAGCAUUUCUCCACUUCCGGCCCCUCCUACAUAAAUGUCCGCCGACGCCAUCUUUGGCCGUCAAACUCAU